CUUGCUUCUUUGCUGGCGACCGGCGCACGGGUGAGUAACACGUAUCCAACCUGCCUUUACUCGGGGAUAGCCUUUCGAAAGAAAGAUUAAUACCCGAUAGUAUAAUGAUUCCGCAUGGUUUCAUUAUUAAAGGAUUCCGGUAAAGGAUGGGGAUGCGUUCCAUUAGGUUGUUGGUGAGGUAACGGCUCACCAAGCCUUCGAUGGAUAGGGGUUCUGAGAGGAAGGUCCCCCACAUUGGAACUGAGACACGGUCCAAACUCCUACGGGAGGCAGCAUG
RNAcentral lists this ribosomal RNA (277 nucleotides) under uncultured bacterium. RNAcentral's name for it is "partial 16S ribosomal RNA". It matches the Rfam family "Bacterial small subunit ribosomal RNA", at positions 73 to 353 of the family's 1533-position model. The record is from RNAcentral.